UAAGAGGCCAGUGUUGAUCAGUAGCUGUCCAGGCCUUUCAGAGCCACUGACACGCUGGCAGCACAAUCAUCAUGUCUCUGACUCUACUGCUGGUCACCCUGGGGCUCCUUGUUCAGGGUUCAUCAGGAGAAAUCAUCCUGACUCAGUCUCCUGGAUCUCAGUCUGUUGUUCUGGGACAGACUGUCUCUAUCAGAUGUAAAGCCAGUUCAAGUGUUACUUACGACCUCCAAUGGUACCUUCAGAGACCUGGAGAAACUCCCAAGCUUCUUAUUUAUGAUGAUACAACACGUUAUUCAGGCGUUUCAGAUCGUUUUAGUGGAAGUAAAUCUAGUAACACUGACUUCACUCUGACCAUCAGUAGAGUUCAGGCUGAAGAUGCAGGAGUUUACUACUGUCAGCAUGAUGAAAACCUCCCGUUCACACAGUGAUACAACGUCGUACAAAAACCUCCCUCAGCUGCAGAGGAACUGAUCUGACUCAACAGCUGCACUGACACUAAAACAACAGAGGUUGUAAUAAAUAAUGUAAUUUAUAAUGAUCGACUUUGAAAAUGUAAACACUAAAUAUAUUGAAUUUAACCUUGAAGGUUAUAUUUUAUUUAUUUAUUUUUGU
This is a non-coding RNA of Lates calcarifer (barramundi perch), 612 nucleotides long. The record is from the annotation of a RefSeq genome assembly. Lineage: Eukaryota; Metazoa; Chordata; Actinopteri; Centropomidae.